CCUACGGGUGGCUGCAGUGGGGAAUAUUGCACAAUGGGCGAAAGCCUGAUGCAGCAACGCCGCGUGAGCGAUGAAGGCCUUCGGGUCGUAAAGCUCUGUCCUCAAGGAAGAGAAUGACGGUACUUGAGGAGGAAUCCCCGGCUAACUACGUGCCAGCAGCCGCGGUAAUACGCGGGGGGCUAGCGUUAUCCGGAAUUACUGGGCGUAAGGGGGGCGGAGGUGGUUUCUUAUGGCAGAGGUAAAAGGCUGCGGCUCAACCGUAGUAAGCCUUUGAAACUGGGGAACUUGAGUGCAGGAGAGGAGAGUGGAAUUCCUAGUGUAGCGGUGAAAUGCGUAGAUAUUAGGAGGAACACCAGUUGCGAAGGCGGCUCUCUGGACUGUAACUGACACUGAGGCACGAAAGCGUGGGGAGCAAACAGGAUUAGAUACCCCGGUAGUC
RNAcentral lists this ribosomal RNA (439 nucleotides) under uncultured bacterium. RNAcentral's name for it is "partial 16S ribosomal RNA". It matches the Rfam family "Bacterial small subunit ribosomal RNA", at positions 338 to 795 of the family's 1533-position model. The record is from RNAcentral.